Carassius gibelio (silver crucian carp) is the source of this 1894-nucleotide long non-coding RNA. RefSeq lists it as uncharacterized. The record is from RefSeq and is a predicted model, not a curated record. The transcript has 5 exons. NCBI's taxonomy places the organism in Eukaryota, Metazoa, Chordata, Actinopteri, Cypriniformes, Cyprinidae.
UUAAAACAAGACUGAAAGUUUGGGGUGGGUCAUUCACAUGCGCUGCUUUUGCUAUGCUUGAAACCCAUUUGUGGCUUUUAAUCUUAUGAAAUCGCUGUGGGAUUUCAAUAUAUACUAAGUUCAAUGGAUUCCGGUGUUAUGUUGCGUUGCCUCUAUUGGAUUACUAUAUUGAUCGCCACGCUUAUUCAUGGAGUAAACGCGGAUAAAAGUUCAGCCCGUUGUUUGAAAUCCGAAUUCUGGAAUGGAGAUGUUGCACAAUGUGUACCUUGUCAAAUAUGCAAACAGUACCCGAAAACUCCAUCAUGUGACACAUGCCCACCCAUAGAGCCUUCGGAUUCCUGGAGGGUGGCAGCAAUUACCAGUUUAUCUGUCCUGGCAGCCGUGGUUGUUUGCGGAGCCUUGCUCAUAGGCAUUCUAGUACAUCAAUUCAGGUCCAAGAGGACUUUACGGGAACCGAUUGAAGAGACAACAGGACCCCUUUAUCAAGUAUAGGAUCUCCAUAAGCUCAUGGAACUCAAGCUGACAGAAAUGAAAAUGGACUGUUACUCCAGUGAAUUAAUGCUCCAGUUGGUAAACGCUGGCUGGUACCUCAACCACAGAGUGUUCUAUGAGUAGCAUCUGAUUUGUCUAAUUUAUGACAUUAGUAGGCUAUGUCAUGCAUAGCAUAUGGUUAUGCACAAAAGCUGCACUGAGACCUUCCUUAUCACUCACUGUGCAGAAUAGGUUUCCAAGCCUUGGUGCUAAGUGACAUCCUAUGGACAGCAUGAUAGCAUAUAUUAUAUAUUCCUUUUUUUGGAACCCUUAAAAUGCUUUAGUGAGAGGUCUUGUUACACUGUUUUUGCAGAGAUUUGAGGCCAUUCAUGUUGCACUUAAGAGUGCAUUGUAGAUGCAUUCCCACUUGAAUAUUCCUUGUUAGAUUUUUGAAAACGAUAAACAAAUAACCACAAACUGUUUUAAUAUAGUAGACUUAGAGAUCGACUUUUUUACACAAAUAUGCCUCCCUAAACUGAUUUAGUAUGGCACAGCCAUUUGAAUGUACUUGUUAUCAUUGUUUGUAUAGUUUAAUUAUCUAUUUUUAUAGUGUUGGAAUAUUACGCACUGUAUAGAUGUAGCCCUUUGUAUAACAAUGUUCUGACACUGACUGGCUCAGCAGCCUGUCUAUGGCAUUGAUGAACAUUCUGGAGACACUGAAAAUCAGCGAAGCAACAGAAGCCAAUUUCCUGAAGACCAGAGUCGCCAGCUUACGUUAACAAACUCUGAGAAAGAGUCGCAGGUGUCAGAUUCCAUCUUAGUUUUGCUGCCUUUAUACGCAUAAGAGAUUAGAUAGUUUAGAGUGAUAUUUACAUACAUGUAUUGCAAUACAUUUAAUCUCUCAUGUUUUAUCAUUUCAGCUUACUAAAAUGUUUUCAAAGGAUAAAACCCAACAGUUUUAGGUGUGUGUAGCCAGCUAUGGGCAUUAGGGAAUGUAUAUAUUUAUAUACAGCAGAUGCUAAGGAGUAAGUAACUUGUUUGAAUGACUUAAAGCAUGUUUAGCAAGAGGUUACCUGUGAAAACCUGUGAAGAGCACAACCCAGAAUCAAAAGAUAUAAGAAAUUAUAUUUUUAGAAUUUGAUGCAUUGUUUUCAAGAAAACCAAGCACAUUUUAUACCCCAGUUCCUGAGAAUACUGUAUGUACCUCAUUGUGAAUCACUGCCAUGUUUGUCAGAAAUCUAGAAACAUCAAGAAGCUAGUCCAGAAUCUUGAUGAACAUUAACCUGUGAAGCAUGCACAGCGCUGUCACAGUCUCGAGUAAAGUUGGUUGUGUAUUUCUGCCUUUACUCAUAAACAAUUACUCCACAGACUGCAGAGGAAACUAUGCAUUUCAAUACAAUAAAGAGAAAACUAAUGUACUGUA